This 385-nucleotide ribosomal RNA is filed under the name uncultured bacterium. RNAcentral describes it as "bacterial SSU rRNA". It matches the Rfam family "Bacterial small subunit ribosomal RNA", at positions 28 to 418 of the family's 1533-position model. The record is from RNAcentral.
GACGAACGCUGGCGGCGUGCUUAACACAUGCAAGUCGAGCGGAAAGGCCCUUCGGGGUACUCGAGCGGCGAACGGGUGAGUAACACGUGAGCAACCUGCCCCUGACUCUGGGAUAAGCCCGGGAAACUGGGUCUAAUACCGGAUACGACUACUGAUCGCAUGGUUGGUGGUGGAAAGUUUUUUCGGUCAGGGAUGGGCUCGCGGCCUAUCAGCUUGUUGGUGGGGUAGUGGCCUACCAAGGCGACGACGGGUAGCCGGCCUGAGAGGGCGACCGGCCACACUGGGACUGAGACACGGCCCAGACUCCUACGGGAGGCAGCAGUGGGGAAUAUUGCACAAUGGGGGAACCCUGAUGCAGCGACGCCGCGUGCGGGAUGACGGCCUU